This 321-nucleotide long non-coding RNA is filed under the name Zonotrichia albicollis (white-throated sparrow). RNAcentral's name for it is "lncRNA (ENSZALG00000017651.1)". Lineage: Eukaryota; Metazoa; Chordata; Aves; Passeriformes; Passerellidae. The record is from RNAcentral.
AUGACAGAACAGAAAUGGUUGAUCUGUGGAAGCAAAGAAAGGUUGAAAUCUAUGGUUGCCCUUGCAAAUAGAGGACAGGACAGUAGGAUCAGAGGAGAAAUUAAGUUCAAAUAUGACACAGGAAAAGAACAGAGGCUGGCAAUGGCCAUAUAUUCUGGGGUCCAUCCUCCCCUCACAGAGAGACGGGCUCUAAGAAAGAUGCAGUCAUUAAGCAACAAGAAGGAGACAAAGUGUGGUCCAGUGCUUAAUUGUUGUAAAGGAUGGAGGGCUGCUUCAUGGAUUUCCAGCAUGUGUGCUCCCUAUCAUGGCCAUGAUGUUUGA